This 330-nucleotide long non-coding RNA is filed under the name Manihot esculenta (cassava). RNAcentral describes it as "long non-coding RNA (MESC_LNC004763)". Lineage: Eukaryota; Viridiplantae; Streptophyta; Magnoliopsida; Malpighiales; Euphorbiaceae. The record is from RNAcentral.
AACAUUUUAGAAAACCUUUCCUUUACCCUUGCUCUACCCCCCAAAGAGGAUCCGACACCCGAGAUUCCACCGGACGGUAGGAAUUCCGAUGUCUGAACGAGCGGGGUCUUACAUUCUUCCCCCCUUACAGAACAUUCGUCCCCGAAUGUUCAAACAAAAACACACAAACAAACAAACAAAACCUCAAACUUGCUCUUCAACGCCACAAGCUUCUGCUGCGCUACUCUGAUCCUUCUCUUCUUCUUCCUUCACUGAUCUUGCUCUUCUCUUCUGCUUUCUAUUCUACUCUUACUCUUCUCUGCUAUACUCUUACUCUCUACUCUGCCACUA